ACUUUGAAGAACAACCUCUCUCUCUCUCUCUACUUAAUCUCUUUCUCUCUCUAGAUUUACUGUCCCUCAAAUUCCCACAUGCUUGGGAUUUUCUCUUUCUCUUUCUUUCGUUUUCUCACCCGCCAAACAUGUACUAAUAUAUAUAUAGCUAUAUAUAGCUAGCUUAAAACAACCCUAAACUACUCCACUGUCAAAUCAAUCUGUGAGCUUACAGCACCAAGAAAAAAAAAAGAAGAUUUUUUUUUUAUAAGCACAUAAUCACAGUCAACGUUUAGCUACCCAGAGACUUUGACACCUGUAACCCCAGAAUCUAAUUAAUCCAAACAUUGUUCAAGGGACUGAAACAGCCAGCAAAGGGUUGAGAGAGAGAAGAACUAAAAGCACAAACAGGCACAGCACAGCAACCAACAGCAGCACCACCAUCACUCACCUCUCUCUGCAAUACUGCAAAAAGCUUAAAAGAGAGAGAGAAAGAGAGUGAGAGAGAGAGAGAGAGAGUCCUCUUCUUCUCUUCACUGACUUAGACUGUGAUAUAUCAAAGCGUAAAAAAAGGUCUUUUUAUCAAUACAAAAGCCAAAGUACUCUCUGAAUUAUCGUCAUCAAUGCAAUAGGACACAGCCAAGCCCAACCCCACCUGCACCUCUCAUCAACUCUUUACCUCUUUCUCUUUCAUACUCACCAAUUUCUCUCUCUCCUCUUUUUUCUCCCAUGUCUAAAGGAUAAGAACAAGAAGAAGAAGAAGAAGAAGAAGAAGAAGAAGAAGAAGAAGAAGAGGGAGUAAAGAUUGAAGCUUUUGAGUUAAAAGUGAAGACUUUUUGAAUGAGUUCGACUUGGGUUAUCUGUUUUAGUUUAGAAAAGGCAUGAAAGUACUGCUGUUAUGGAGGUGGAGGAGAUUCAAGCUCAAGCCUUAAAGUACUCGAGGAUUAAUGAAAAUGGCAGUAGGAAAGGGGGAAACGAAAAUUACCCACCUGAUGAAGAACAAGAAGAAGGGAGUCGAGAGAUCAAAAGGGUUGCCGGUGCCGGAGCUGCUACUACUACUGACCUAUCUAUCGUUAACGGCGGCGGAGGAGCUGGAGCCAAUCGGCUUCGAGGGUGGCACCAUUCUUCAAGAAUUAUUAGGGUUUCGAGAGCUUCAGGUGGUAAAGAUCGGCACAGUAAAGUAUGGACAUCGAAAGGGUUAAGAGACCGGCGAGUUAGGUUAUCGGUAACGACGGCGAUUCAUUUCUACGACCUUCAAGAUCGAUUGGGUUUCGAUCAACCCAGUAAAGCUGUUGAAUGGUUAAUCAAUGCGGCUUCGGAAGCCAUUGCUGAGCUUCCUUCUCUCAACGGCUCUUUUCCCGAUACUCCUAAACAGCUUAGCGAUGAGAAGAGGGGUAGUGUUGGAACCAACACCGGCGGCGGAGAACAAGGGUUUGAUUCAGCUGAGGUUGAAAUGGACGGUAUCAAUUACCAUCAUCAUCAACAUCUUCAAUUAGAUCAGCAAAAUCAAAAUCAAAACCAAAAUCAGCCUUUGUCUAAAUCAGCUUGUAGUAGUACAUCGGAGACUAGUAAAGGCUCCGGCUUGUCUCUUUCCCGGUCCGAUAUUCGGGUUAACCGAGUUAAGGCCAGGGAGAGAGCUAGAGAGAGAGCCGCUAAAGAGAAAGAGAAAGAGAAUGAGUCAAGAAUUGUUGUUCACCACAACGACAACCCCAACAACAACAACAAUCUCAAUUCCAUUUCUCAAAAUUCAACCUUUACUGAGCUUCUCACAGCUGGAAUGAGUAACAACAGCAACAACAACAACAACAACAACAACAACAGUUCUAGUCCCAAUACCCAACAAAACCCAGGUGCUCAUAUGGAUUACUUUGCAUCAGGGCUACUUGGGUUAUCUUCUUCUUCAUCAUCUGUUUCAAGAACACAACAACAACAUCAUCAUAACCAGUCUUCUUCUGGGUUUUCUGGGCAAAUAAUCAAUCUUGGUAACUCAUUACAACAGCAGCAUAAUAUGUCAAUGUCUAUGUUUGGUGAUCACAAUCAUAAUCAUCAUCAUCAUCAUCAACAACAACAACAACAACAUAAUGGUGAUCAGAAUAAUCAGAGUCAUCAUCAGAGUACAGUAGUACUGCAACCACCACAACAUUUCUCAUUUGUUCCUGAACAACAUCUCAUUCCGGUGGUUGCUGCUUCUGCUGCCACGUCAUCCCAACCCAACGGCGGAGGCAAUGGUGGUGGGGGUGGGGUUGUUGAUUACAACCUCAACUUCUCUAUCUCUUCAUCCGGAGGCCUUGCUGGUUUCAAUAGGGGGACCCUUCAGUCCAAUUCACCGUCUCUUUUGCCUCAUUUUCAGAGGUUUUCUCCCAUAGACGGAACAAACAAUCUACCCUUCUUUAUAGGAGCAGCACCUCCCGCUCCGGCUCAGGCUCAGGCAGCUGCUCCUUCCAUGGAGAAUCAACACCAACACCAACAUCAACAUCACCACAACCACAACCACCAUCAUCAAUUCCCAACUGGGUUUGUUGAUGGCCGAUUGCAACUCUGUUACGGCGAUGGAAACCGCCAUAAUUCUGACCACCACCACAACCACAACAGCCACCACCAGCAUCAGCAGCAGCAGCACAAAGGAAAAGGAAAGAACUGAACUUUAUUAAUGGGCAUAUGAAGAUUCCUCUUGGCAACAUGUUCUUCUUUCUGAAAAAGUGAAGAUAUAUAAAAGAAAUGGUGGGAAAAGUUAGCUGGAGGCAAAGAGUGAAGCCUACUUUCCUUGAUCAGAUGAUUGCUUAUAUUAAAAUGCUUCUGAUACACUUUGAUGAUAUUUUCUACAUUAAUCUCCCUUUUUGAAGCCAUUCAGCUUCCCAUUCAUAUAAUUCGGAUAUAUAUCUAUAUAUUUAUGUAUGUGUGUAUUAUUAUUAUUAUAAUUAAUCAUGUUUUUGAUGAAAUUUAGCUGACAAUUCCAGUAAAGUAAUUCUUUUUUCCUUACAAAA
Molecule: RNA transcript, 2963 nt
Organism: Cannabis sativa
Lineage: Eukaryota; Viridiplantae; Streptophyta; Magnoliopsida; Rosales; Cannabaceae
Gene name: transcription factor TCP2
Exons: 5
Source: RefSeq, a predicted model, not a curated record